RNAcentral lists this ribosomal RNA (277 nucleotides) under uncultured bacterium. RNAcentral's name for it is "partial 16S ribosomal RNA". It matches the Rfam family "Bacterial small subunit ribosomal RNA", at positions 78 to 353 of the family's 1533-position model. The record is from RNAcentral.
GCAAACUGGGGAUGGCGACCGGCGCACGGGUGAGUAACACGUAUCCAACCUGCCGAUAACUCGGGGAUAGCCUUUCGAAAGAAAGAUUAAUACCCGAUGGCAUAAUAGAACCGCAUGGUUUGAUUAUUAAAGAAUUUCGGUUAUCGAUGGGGAUGCGUUCCAUUAGGCAGUUGGUGGGGUAACGGCCCACCAAACCUUCGAUGGAUAGGGGUUCUGAGAGGAAGGUCCCCCACAUUGGAACUGAGACACGGUCCAAACUCCUACGGGAGGCAGCAUG